RNAcentral lists this ribosomal RNA (417 nucleotides) under alpha proteobacterium 0-12. RNAcentral's name for it is "bacterial SSU rRNA". It matches the Rfam family "Bacterial small subunit ribosomal RNA", at positions 29 to 491 of the family's 1533-position model. The record is from RNAcentral. Lineage: Bacteria; Pseudomonadati; Pseudomonadota; Alphaproteobacteria.
AACGAACGCUGGCGGCAUGCCUAACACAUGCAAGUCGAACGAGAUCUUCGGAUCUAGUGGCGCACGGGUGCGUAACGCGUGGGAAUCUGCCCUUUGGUUCGGAAUAACAGUUGGAAACGACUGCUAAUACCGGAUGAUGACGUAAGUCCAAAGAUUUAUCGCCAGAGGAUGAGCCCGCGUAGGAUUAGCUAGUUGGUGUGGUAAGAGCGCACCAAGGCGACGAUCCUUAGCUGGUCUGAGAGGAUGAUCAGCCACACUGGGACUGAGACACGGCCCAGACUCCUACGGGAGGCAGCAGUGGGGAAUAUUGGACAAUGGGCGAAAGCCUGAUCCAGCAAUGCCGCGUGAGUGAUGAAGGCCUUAGGGUUGUAAAGCUCUUUUACCCGGGAUGAUAAUGACAGUACCGGGAGAUAUAAG